RNAcentral lists this long non-coding RNA (1114 nucleotides) under Oryza brachyantha (malo sina). RNAcentral describes it as "long non-coding RNA (OBRA_LNC000734)". The record is from RNAcentral. Lineage: Eukaryota; Viridiplantae; Streptophyta; Magnoliopsida; Poales; Poaceae.
GGCCGGCUGCCCGGUGUAGGGUAGCUGCUGGUUGUCCAUUAAUUGUCACCUACACCUCGCUCGCGGUCGAUCGUUUGCCUCCUGGUUAGCUCUCGAGCUAGCCAGGACGCUAGCUGUGGCUGCGUGGGCAAAAAUCACGGCAAUCAGUGACCACUCACGUACGUGUUUAGGAAUGAAUUAUCGAUAUGUGCUCCACGUAUGUAACAACAGCUCGCAACAUGCAAAGUGUAAACGACACGCGUUGUAUUGAGAGAUCGAAAGAUUCAUAAGCUGCAUGCAGCCUCAGAAAAUCACCGUGUGCAAAAUUGCAGUGAGUGUAUACAUGAGAGUAGAGAUUAGGACGUAAUCCAGAGCUUGGUGGAUUAGCAUGCAUGUGCGGCGGAUCAAAAACAUGAGAACUCGAGGGUAGCUAUAGGUGCAAAGUGCAGAUAUAUAUGGGGUUCUACUUAUCACCUAGUUUCCGUCUUCAGAGAUCGAUCAGCAUGGAUAACAUGAACGAACUCGCUAUGCUGCCAAAGCUAUGACUGACAAGAUCGACAUUCUUGCAGUGUAGUAUUACUUCAUUUUUCAGAUCGGUGGGGUAUUCUCCUAAACUAUUUCGGGUCUCACCACAAGAAAAAUAAGAAACGGCCGGAUGACUUCAGAUUAAGUAGAUCAUAUGUCUACUUUUGGUUCUCUAAUCAAAUAGAGGAAACGAAAAAAGAACACUGAGGAAGAUGCAGAAGUUGAAGGCACUGAAAGAUGUAAUGCCACAUAACUCACUGACUGCAAGAACUGGCUCGAACAUAAGUUGGAAAAUCGAACUAUCCAUUAGAAAAUGCAAUGGUUGAUUCACACAUGCAUGCGGAUCUCAACUAAUUACUUAAGUUCUUACCAGAAAGCAAACCAGGAUAUAUAUCCUGUUUGAGCGAAGAAUGAGCUCUUGCCCUGCUGCUUCAGAUAUCCAAAGGUCUCAGAUCGAGUAACUAAGAACAGCUCCUCGAUCCUUAGCAGCAGCAAAAGUAUCAAACGCUUUAGCACGCAUGGGGAUCGUCAGGGAAGCAGCAGGGCACACUCCUCACCGUCUUUCCCACUGCCUAGUUAGUGCCUGAACAAAAUGACCAACUCGAUCCCC